Molecule: ribosomal RNA, 298 nt
Filed under: uncultured Sphingomonadaceae bacterium
Lineage: Bacteria; Pseudomonadati; Pseudomonadota; Alphaproteobacteria; Sphingomonadales; Sphingomonadaceae
Description: partial 16S ribosomal RNA
Rfam family: Bacterial small subunit ribosomal RNA
Source: RNAcentral
UAACGCGUGGGAAUCUGCCCUGGAGUGGGGGAUAACCCGGCGAAAGCCGGGCUAAUACCGCAUACGUCCUGAGGGAGAAAGAUUUAUCGCUCUAGGAGGGGCCCGCGUCGGAUUAGCUAGUUGGUGGGGUAACGGCUCACCAAGGCGACGAUCCGUAGCUGGUCUGAGAGGAUGAUCAGCCACACUGGGACUGAGACACGGCCCAGACUCCUACGGGAGGCAGCAGUGGGGAAUAUUGGACAAUGGGGGCAACCCUGAUCCAGCAAUGCCGCGUGAGUGAUGAAGGCCUUAGGGUUGU